GAUGAACGCUGGCGGCGUGCCUAAUACAUGCAAGUCGAGCGAACGGACGAGAAGCUUGCUUCUCUGAUGUUAGCGGCGGACGGGUGAGUAACACGUGGAUAACCUACCUAUAAGACUGGGAUAACUUCGGUAAACCGGAGCUAAUACCGGAUGAUAUUUUGAACCGCAUGGUUCAAAAGUGAAAGACGGUCUUGCUGUCACUUAUAGAUGGAUCCGCGCUGCAUUAGCUAGUUGGUAAGGUAACGGCUUACCAAGGCAACGAUGCAUAGCCGACCUGAGAGGGUGAUCGGCCACACUGGAACUGAGACACGGUCCAGACUCCUACGGGAGGCAGCAGUAGGGAAUCUUCCGCAAUGGGCGAAAGCCUGACGGAGCAACGCCGCGUGAGUGAUGAAGGUCUUCGGAUCGUAAAACUCUGUUAUUAGGGAAGAACAUAUGUGUAAGUAACUGUGCACAUCUUGACGGUACCUAAUCAGAAAGCCACGGCUAACUACGUG
RNAcentral lists this ribosomal RNA (497 nucleotides) under uncultured bacterium. Its description in RNAcentral is "partial 16S ribosomal RNA". It matches the Rfam family "Bacterial small subunit ribosomal RNA", at positions 28 to 507 of the family's 1533-position model. The record is from RNAcentral.